UACGUAGGGCGCAAGCGUUGUCCGGAAUUAUUGGGCGUAAAGAGCUCGUAGGCGGUCUGUCGCGUCUGCCGUGAAAACCCGAGGCUUAACCUCGGGCUGGCGGUGGAUACGGGCAGACUAGAGGUAGGUAGGGGAGAAUGGAAUUCCCCGGUGUAGCGGUGAAAAUGCGCAGAUAUCGGGGAGGAACACCGGUGGCGAAGGCGGGUCUCUGGGCCGUAACUGACGCGAGGAGCGAAAGCA
This 240-nucleotide ribosomal RNA is filed under the name uncultured bacterium. RNAcentral describes it as "partial 16S ribosomal RNA". It matches the Rfam family "Bacterial small subunit ribosomal RNA", at positions 524 to 761 of the family's 1533-position model. The record is from RNAcentral.